CAGUUAUUAUGUGCUAGACAUUGCUCUGAGCACAUGUCACAUAUUAUCUCAUUUAGUCCUUUAAGGACUACACAGUAAAGUACCAUGAUUAUUCCCAUUUCACAGAUGAGGAAAAACGGAACUCAGAGAGGUUAAGUAACUUGCUCAAAUCACACACCUAGAAAGUUGUAGUGCAGGUGCUGGACCCAGGCAAUCUGACUGCAGAGGCGGAAAUCUCAACAACUACACUACAAGGUGGUUUAGGGAAACACUAACAACAGCACUGUAAAUUGUAUGCUGCAUUAAUGGACCUGACUAAGGCAUUUGAUCCACUAAAUUGGGUUCAAAUGCAGAAACAAUACAAAGGAUUGAGUGUCUAGAAAAAUUGGUUAACAUUUCUUUCCUUCACAAGGGAAUUUCAGUUUGAGUCGUAGAUGUUAAACAUGCAGAGUAUGAUGAAGUCAUACUAAACAAGACGAUGUUCUCUUACCAGGACAUUCUUUAUUUUACAGAUUUCAGCAGAAUGCUUAGCGAGUCCCCACUGAUUAGUUUUCCCCAAAUGGUUAAUAUCCAAAAGAAUGGGGUUUUAGUUCUAUAGACGCAGAAAUUGAUAAGAAGUUCUUAAGUCUUAGGGAGUGAGGUGCUGGUGGUCACUUUCCAUCUGCCAGACCCUGGGCCACUCAGCAGAGAUCAGUCACAAAGAAGCCACUGGUGACCCCCAGCAACCUUCAAGAUUCAGUAACUGUCAGUGAGAUUAAGUCAGAUAAGAACCUGUUCUAUGUGUAAUGCUUUGAUUUUAAAAGAAAGUGCUGACAGCUGCUAUUUGAGAUCUUUCCUAUAUGUAAGUGAUUGGGCAAUUUUGUGGCUUAUAAUUAGAACAAUGCAUGACAAUGUCUAGAUUGGGCUGCAAGGUCACUCUUCUCUUCAGUCUGUCAGUGCCAAAAGAAACAAAAGGUCAUCUUCUGAGGCUCCAGGACAGCACUCAUUACCUGCCAAG
RNAcentral lists this long non-coding RNA (976 nucleotides) under Marmota monax (woodchuck). The record is from RNAcentral. Lineage: Eukaryota; Metazoa; Chordata; Mammalia; Rodentia; Sciuridae.